GCAGAACUCUGGCGGCGGCCGUGGGGCUGCUGGAGCCGGGCCUGGCUGGGAUGACCGUGACCGUGGCCCCCACGCACGCCUAGACCGGACCCCGGGCGGACGCCGCCUCCUGGGACCAGAUUCCACCGCAGCGGCGGCGCGGCCGGGAGUCGCGCGGGAAGAAACUGACUCAGCGGACUCCGCUGAGUCCACAGGCCCGGAGCCCCGCAGCGGAGGCGCGCAGUGCGCAGCCCGGCCGGCCACCCUCCGCGACCCGCCAGCCGGGGAUCCUGCGGCCCCACGGAAGGUCUGGGAACUGGGAGCAGGAAAAAUGAAAGCCGCCUAUCUCCAGAUCUAAGAAUAGAAAUCAGGGCGCUGGGAAAAGAGGACACCGCCCAGAUGGCCCCUUUUAGGAAUACAUUGUCUUUAGAGUUCCACCUAUAGGGAGAUGAGCAAUUUUCCCCCAAAGGAUGGAAAGAGGGGUUAGCCAUCAAAACUGCCCCCGCUACUCUUUUUUAUGAUUUUUUGUGACUGUUAGUGGGAGAGGAAAUAAACAUUGUUUCCCUGUGAGUUAUCUGAAGCUCUGGUCACCAAAAGGCCACUAAAUUAACUUUUGGAAAUUUGAGUUGCACUAGGCAGGAUCCUGAUACUUGGGACACCCGAAAAGUAAUCAGCUCUCAGAGCUAUUAGAGCUGAGACAAAGGACAGGGUACAUGAAAUGAAAGGUGAAAAGUUGAGAGAAGCAAACCUAAAUACUCUUCUCUUGGUAUUCAGAAAUACUUAUGAGUAUGGGUGUCUAUAACCCCAAAGUUUUUUGGUUUUGUCUUUUGAUUGUUUGUUUGUUUGUUCUGUUAAGUACCUAAGUAAUGUGUUUUUAGGAAAAGAAACCUAGCAAGAACAUUGUAGACAAGGCUAGGCAAAGAUGAUCUAUCCUUCAGGUGAUGUGUCUGUCCUCAAGAUCACUUACAAAGAAGAGGAUUGGACUGGAAGUUACUACUUCACAAUUUUAGUUUUGUUUUCACAUCUGUUACUUCAAUCCUGAUGACAAUUCUGAAAUGGAUACAACUACUACUAUGUAUCCUUCUUUCACUAGUGAGGAAAUUGAGAUUUGGAAUUGAGAAGUGAAGAGCUUUGCUGGAGUCACACAGGUGGGAAGUUGAGAGCCAGGACUUCAACCCAGCAAAUCUCCUAACUCCAGGUCUGGUAGAAGACACCAAUCAAAAUAAACUGCAUUCCUGAAACACAGACAGACGUUAAAGCUAUUCAAGUCCUCAAGUCCCAGAGACUAUUGAGGAAGAGGUGGGAGUGUGACAUUGGAAGGGCUGAUAUUGAGAGAUAAAAGUCAAGAAAACUUUUAAGCUGUUUACAGCUUUUAAUAAUUGAGUAAGGUAUACUCCUGUGAACAAAAUUUGGAGCAUAUUUUUUUCUCUCUACCUGAUUUCUCCAAAAUUUGGAAACUAUUUAUUCACCUCUAAGAAUUUUCUUUGAAUGUUCCUGGGAUGGAUGAAAUGGGGGGAGUGAAGAAGAUUUGUACUACUUCUAAAGCAGAGUUUACAAUUCAAGCUCUGAAGAAGAAAAAAUAAAUAAACUUAAGUAAAUGUAAACACAAGUUGAGGCACAUUCAAUAAUGAACUCUAA
RNAcentral lists this long non-coding RNA (1617 nucleotides) under Homo sapiens (human). Its description in RNAcentral is "HSALNT0367696". Lineage: Eukaryota; Metazoa; Chordata; Mammalia; Primates; Hominidae. The record is from RNAcentral.